Molecule: ribosomal RNA, 495 nt
Filed under: uncultured bacterium
Lineage: Bacteria
Description: partial 16S ribosomal RNA
Rfam family: Bacterial small subunit ribosomal RNA
Source: RNAcentral
GACGAACGCUGGCGGCGUGCCUAAUACAUGCGAGUAGAACGCUGAAGGAGGAGCUUGCUUCUCUGGAUGAGUUGCGAACGGGUGAGUAACGCGUAGGUAACCUGCCUGGUAGCGGGGGAUAACUAUUGGAAACGAUAGCUAAUACCGCAUAAGAGUAGAUGUUGCAUGACAUUUGCUUAAAAGGUGCAAUUGCAUCACUACCAGAUGGACCUGCGUUGUAUUAGCUAGUUGGUGGGGUAACGGCUCACCAAGGCGACGAUACAUAGCCGACCUGAGAGGGUGAUCGGCCACACUGGGACUGAGACACGGCCCAGACUCCUACGGGAGGCAGCAGUAGGGAAUCUUCGGCAAUGGACGGAAGUCUGACCGAGCAACGCCGCGUGAGUGAAGAAGGUUUUCGGAUCGUAAAGCUCUGUUGUAAGAGAAGAACGAGUGUGAGAGUGGAAAGUUCACACUGUGACGGUAUCUUACCAGAAAGGGACGGCUAACUACGUG